CAUAGCGUUAAGCUACUAGUGACCUUCUGAUAAGACAUCAGAAGGAGGAGCAUCUGCUUCUGGACCGUGGUUGACCUUAGUGCAAAGCCACUGUGUUGGUGAUGGAUGGAACGUAUAAAGGAGUGGAAAACACUGGCUGAAGGAAGUUCACAGACAGAAGCCAGGAGCUGUGGAUUGGAAGGCAGAUGCCUCAGCUUCAAGCACAGGCUGGAAUACUGACUUGCAGCGUCAUUGUGGGCUUCACCCUCUUGGAACAGCUGUGCCACCAGCUGGGUGGAUGAAAAGCCACAAGGAGAAAAAGCAGAUCACGGAGUCAAAAGCCCCAGUCAACUGUCAGACACAGAGAGGAAGCUGCAGAGAAUCUUCAGGAAAUUGAGGAAAACUGUGCCAGUGAGUAGAGUAUGAUGGUGGGAAGACAAAUGAAGGAAGAUGUAUUUAAAGCGCUACCCGACUCACUUCAAAUAGGUGAAGAAGUUCCAGCUCAAGGAGAUGGAGGGUAUUUGUUUUAAGAAGUGCAAGAAGUUGAAGAGAAGAUAAAUUACCAUGAAGAAGAAAAGGCACCUUUUAUCCUCUUUUUUUGAUCUUCAGAUCAAGAGGAGUCCUGCCUGAUGAAUCUUACCUGCCCCUGGAUCUGAUUUAGACUCAAAGCAUGAAUGGCACCAGGAGUGAUUCUGCAGUACUUUUAAGUGGUGAGCCAUGGGAUGUUCCCCUGCAGACAUGUCUCUCCAUGGCAGCAAGUCCACAAGGAUGGCUGCAGGCUGCAGAAACCAGAAGGAGGGAACAGAAGAGGAAGAACCAUUCGGAAUGAAAUGCAGUUGGAAGGAGAAUGGUCAUGGCUCACAUCUUAUUAGCUUUGAUAUGACCAAAGGCUUAAAACAAAAUACUAAAGUCUUUGAAUAUUUGAGAAUCAAUGAUUAAAAAUGAGAGCAAACCAGCCGGUAAAUGAUAAAUA
Molecule: long non-coding RNA, 952 nt
Filed under: Equus caballus (horse)
Lineage: Eukaryota; Metazoa; Chordata; Mammalia; Perissodactyla; Equidae
Description: lncRNA (ENSECAG00000031993.3)
Source: RNAcentral